This 186-nucleotide non-coding RNA is filed under the name Oculatella sp. LEGE 06141. RNAcentral's name for it is "6S / SsrS RNA". It matches the Rfam family "6S / SsrS RNA". From Rfam's summary of the family: E. coli 6S RNA was the first non coding RNA to be sequenced, but its function was unknown until recently. It consists of 184 nucleotides that fold into an extended hairpin structure with a large single-stranded internal bulge. The 6S RNA specifically associates with RNA polymerase holoenzyme containing the sigma70 specificity factor. The record is from Rfam by way of RNAcentral. Lineage: Bacteria; Bacillati; Cyanobacteriota; Cyanophyceae; Oculatellales; Oculatellaceae.
GUUCUACUGCGGCGUUGGUGACUGCCAAUAAUGUUUUAUGAUCUACGCCUUAACUUACACGGGUCUCAAGAAUCUUAGUGGCAGUAGACCGGGCUUGUACCCGGAAACUUAAAACUAAGUUCACGAAAUCCAACCUGGAUUUUUUCCAGGUCAAAAACUGAGGUAAGACGGCGUUGCGGGGAACUU